UAGUGAGCUAAAGUUCGGGGGUUUGACUGAA
This 31-nucleotide non-coding RNA is filed under the name Rattus norvegicus (Norway rat). Lineage: Eukaryota; Metazoa; Chordata; Mammalia; Rodentia; Muridae. The record is from RNAcentral.